GUUUUUUUCCACAUGGCUCCUGUAGGUUGGAGGGACUUUGCAUUAGUCCGAAAUAGAUUGCUGAUGGACAGUGGAACUUCUGAACCCCAGAUCCCUGCAGCUAGCUCAUGCCAUACUUAAGAUCCUUCUCACACAGGGUUCUUCUCACAGGAACACUGCACCUUACGUACAGAAUCUACUUAUCAACAGUUAAAUCACCUUGCAGAGUGAGGCUCCUGGUUUAUGUGCUGUGCAACGUGGGGGCAGGACCCACGAGUUUAAAAGCAGAGGCAAGGACCUUUGUCACAGUGGCUGUGCCCUUGUGGCUCUGCUUGCCUGAUGCAUCAGAGACAAACAUGCAACUCCCCAUGUCCUGGCCAGCUUGGAAACUUGGCUGCUGAGCAGAAGACAGCCUCACAUAUAGUAAAGUUUGCUCAUGUACUGGCUGUUGGGAGCAGUAAAUGCCCUACCUCAGUGUGGAAUAUACCUGCACUGCCUACAGAGACCACAUGCACAACUCCAGGGCAGAGGAGGCGAUGGCACUCCUCACUCACUGGGUGUGAAGCUCAGGUAAGUCCUGUUGAUGAGGUACUUGAACAAACUCCUAAAAAAAAACACCUUUCAGCUGGAAUGUGGAAAAGAAACCAGAAGAAUGAGAAAACAGGAAUGCCUUUGCAAUAUUGGUAUGUAGUGCAAUGCUUUCUUUUCCUUUAUAAAGUGAUUAGCAUUCUGCUAAGGUCUUUAUUACAAUAG
RNAcentral lists this long non-coding RNA (732 nucleotides) under Phasianus colchicus (ring-necked pheasant). RNAcentral describes it as "lncRNA (ENSPCLG00000002936.1)". The record is from RNAcentral. Lineage: Eukaryota; Metazoa; Chordata; Aves; Galliformes; Phasianidae.